AAUAAACGCUGGCGGCGUGCCUAACACAUGCAAGUCGAGCGAGAAAGCUCCUUCGGGAGUUAGUAAAGCGGCGAACGGGUGAGCAACACGUGAGAAUCUACCCUUUAGUGAAGAAUACCCUCGAGAAAUCGAGGCUAAUACUGCAUACGUCCCUUCGGGGAGAAAGAUGGCCUCUUUGCUAUCGCUAAAGGAUGAGCUUGCGUACUAUUAGCUAGUUGGCGGGGUAAAGGCCCACCAAGGCAAUGAUGGUUAACCGGCCUGAGAGGGUGUACGGUCACACUGGAACUUAGACACGGUCCAGACUCCUACGGGAGGCAGCAGUGAGGAAUCUUGCGCAAUGGGCGAAAGCCUGACGCAGCGACGCCGCGUGGAGGAUGACGGUUUUCGGAUUGUAAACUCCUGUUAAGCGGGAAGAAAGCCUUGUUUCUAAUACAAGCAAGGUAUGACGGUACCGCUAGAGAAAGACACCGGCUAACUUCGUGCCAGCAGCCGCGGUAAAGUGCGCG
This 506-nucleotide ribosomal RNA is filed under the name uncultured bacterium. RNAcentral describes it as "bacterial SSU rRNA". It matches the Rfam family "Bacterial small subunit ribosomal RNA", at positions 29 to 531 of the family's 1533-position model. The record is from RNAcentral.